This is a non-coding RNA of Myotis brandtii (Brandt's bat), 61 nucleotides long. The record is from Rfam. Lineage: Eukaryota; Metazoa; Chordata; Mammalia; Chiroptera; Vespertilionidae.
GGCAGUAUAGUAUAGUGGUUAAGAAAACCAGAUAUCCUGGGUUCAAAUCCCAGAGCUGCCA